Molecule: ribosomal RNA, 467 nt
Filed under: uncultured bacterium
Lineage: Bacteria
Description: partial 16S ribosomal RNA
Rfam family: Bacterial small subunit ribosomal RNA
Source: RNAcentral
GAUGAACGCUGACAGAAUGCUUAACACAUGCAAGUCAACUUGAAUUUGGGUUUUUAACUUAGGUUUGGGUGGCGGACGGGUGAGUAACGCGUAAAGAACUUGCCUCACAGCUAGGGACAACAUUUGGAAACGAAUGCUAAUACCUAAUAUUAUGAUAAUAGGGCAUCCUAUAAUUAUGAAAGCUAUAAGCGCUGUGAGAGAGCCUUGCGUCCCAUUAGCUAGUUGGAGAGGUAACGGCUCACCAAGGCGAUGAUGGGUAGCCGGCCUGAGAGGGUGAUCGGCCACAAGGGGACUGAGACACGGCCCUUACUCCUACGGGAGGCAGCAGUGGGGAAUAUUGGACAAUGGACCGAGAGUCUGAUCCAGCAAUUCUGUGUGCACGAUGAAGUUUUUCGGAAUGUAAAGUGCUUUCAGUUGGGAAGAAACAAAUGACGGUACCAACAGAAGAAGAGACGGCUAAAUACGUG